GAAUGCUGCAGCUCUUUUAGAAUUUGUCUAGCAGGAUUUCUGGCUAUGGCAGGAGGCUCACCCCA
Ictidomys tridecemlineatus (thirteen-lined ground squirrel) is the source of this 65-nucleotide non-coding RNA. NCBI's taxonomy places the organism in Eukaryota, Metazoa, Chordata, Mammalia, Rodentia, Sciuridae. The record is from Rfam.